This 253-nucleotide ribosomal RNA is filed under the name uncultured bacterium. RNAcentral describes it as "partial 16S ribosomal RNA". It matches the Rfam family "Bacterial small subunit ribosomal RNA", at positions 524 to 776 of the family's 1533-position model. The record is from RNAcentral.
CACGUAGGGGGCGAGCGUUGUCCGGAUUUAUUGGGCGUAAAGAGCUCGUAGGCGGUUUGUCGCGUCUGCUGUGAAAACCCGAGGCUCAACCUCGGGCCUGCAGUGGGUACGGGCAAACUAGAGUGCGGUAGGGGAGAAUGGAAUUCCUGGUGUAGCGGUGGAAUGCGCAGAUAUCAGGAGGAACACCGAUGGCGAAGGCAGUUCUCUGGGCCGUAACUGACGCUGAGGAGCGAAAGCGUGGGGAGCGAACAGG